UCAGUUCGGAUUGGAGUCUGCAACUCGCUCCAUGAAGCUGGAUUCGCUAGUAAUCGCGCAUCAGCAUGCCGCGGUGAAUACGUUCCCGGGCCUUGUACACACCGCCCGUCACACCAUGGGAGCCGGUAAUACCCGAAGCCAGUAGUCUAACCGCAAGGGGGACGCUGUCGAAGGUAGGAUUGGCGACUGGGGUGAAGUCGUAACAAGGUAGC
This 212-nucleotide ribosomal RNA is filed under the name uncultured bacterium. RNAcentral's name for it is "partial 16S ribosomal RNA". It matches the Rfam family "Bacterial small subunit ribosomal RNA", at positions 1288 to 1500 of the family's 1533-position model. The record is from RNAcentral.